UAAUAAAGUGUUUUAUGGCACUUUUUAAAAAUCCAUAUCCACCUUGUGUGCAAUGUUAGAUCUCGUCAAUCUUGGCGAGGUUUUUAUACAUCAACUCAUUCUUUAACAACAUUCGUCUGAUAACAUAUUAUGAAUAUACUUAAUUCAAAAUA
RNAcentral lists this unclassified non-coding RNA (152 nucleotides) under uncultured Mortierella. RNAcentral's name for it is "sequence contains ITS1". The record is from RNAcentral. Lineage: Eukaryota; Fungi; Mortierellomycota; Mortierellomycetes; Mortierellales; Mortierellaceae.